Molecule: ribosomal RNA, 490 nt
Filed under: uncultured bacterium
Lineage: Bacteria
Description: partial 16S ribosomal RNA
Rfam family: Bacterial small subunit ribosomal RNA
Source: RNAcentral
AUUGAACGCUGGCGGCAGGCCUAACACAUGCAAGUCGAACGGUAACAGGAAGAAGCUUGCUUCUUUGCUGACGAGUGGCGGACGGGUGAGUAAUGUCUGGGAAACUGCCUGAUGGAGGGGGAUAACUACUGGAAACGGUAGCUAAUACCGCAUAACGUCGCAAGACCAAAGAGGGGGACCUUCGGGCCUCUUGCCAUCGGAUGUGCCCAGAUGGGAUUAGCUAGUAGGUGGGGUAACGGCUCACCUAGGCGACGAUCCCUAGCUGGUCUGAGAGGAUGACCAGCCACACUGGAACUGAGACACGGUCCAGGCUCCUACGGGAGGCAGCAGUGGGGAAUAUUGCACAAUGGGCGCAAGCCUGAUGCAGCCAUGCCGCGUGUAUGAAGAAGGCCUUCGGGUUGUAAAGUACUUUCAGCGGGGAGGAAGGGAGUAAAGUUAAUACCUUUACUCAUUGACGUUACCCGCAGAAGAGGCACCGGCUAACUCCGUG